AUUGAACGCUGGCGGCAGGCCUAACACAUGCAAGUCGAGCGGAUGAAGGGAGCUUGCUCCUGGAUUCAGCGGCGGACGGGUGAGUAAUGCCUAGGAAUCUGCCUGGUAGUGGGGGAUAACGUCCGGAAACGGGCGCUAAUACCGCAUACGUCCUGAGGGAGAAAGUGGGGGAUCUUCGGACCUCACGCUAUCAGAUGAGCCUAGGUCGGAUUAGCUAGUUGGUGGUGUAAAGGCCUACCAAGGCGACGAUCCGUAACUGGUCUGAGAGGAUGAUCAGUCACACUGGAACUGAGACACGGUCCAGACUCCUACGGGAGGCAGCAGUGGGGAAUAUUGGACAAUGGGCGAAAGCCUGAUCCAGCCAUGCCGCGUGUGAAGAAGGUCUUCGGAUUGUAAAGCACUUUAAGUUGGGAGGAAGGGCAGUAAGUUAAUACCUUGCUGUUUUGACGUUACCAACAGAAUAAGCACCGGCUAACUUCGUG
This 482-nucleotide ribosomal RNA is filed under the name uncultured bacterium. Its description in RNAcentral is "partial 16S ribosomal RNA". It matches the Rfam family "Bacterial small subunit ribosomal RNA", at positions 30 to 507 of the family's 1533-position model. The record is from RNAcentral.